This 1183-nucleotide long non-coding RNA is filed under the name Triticum aestivum (bread wheat). RNAcentral describes it as "long non-coding RNA (TAES_LNC010994)". Lineage: Eukaryota; Viridiplantae; Streptophyta; Magnoliopsida; Poales; Poaceae. The record is from RNAcentral.
GGCAAAAAAAACAGAUGAAAAAAACCAUGGAGGCGAGGCUACCAAGUGAUACAUUGGUGCAUUCAAAUUCUUUUUCUCAGAUGAUAUUUGACGAAUUUGCUCAUGACACCCAUAAAGAGUCAAUUUAUUUAAUAAUAUAAAUGCAAAUUUAGAAAAGAAAGGAUUGCCUAUAGAUUCUUCCCCUUGGGAGAGAUUUGCUGCAUCUUGGCAUGGCACCGAGGAAGAUUCAAUCAAACUAAUCAGAUUGUCUCCCAAUUUUUGGAAAGAGGGAAUUGCAUCUAGAUUCAUUCCCUCGAGAGAGAUUUGACGCAUUUUCUUAGGACACACAUAAGGAGCCAAUGAAUUAAUAAGAUUGCCUCUGAUUUUAGAAAGAGAGAAUAUCUUCCGGUUUAAUUGCAAUCAGUUUUCGCCACCUUAUUUUGAAAAUCUUUCCAAACAAUGGAAAGGUUUAUGGAAAUCCUGACAGGGCAAUUUGGGUAUGUGUAUAUAUAGGAUUGUGCAUCUGUGAAUGGACAAAUCAUCUUGUAGUUUUGCCUACAACACAAAUUCUCUUGUCAAUCUCGAUCCUGUUAAUAAGCACAAACAAAUAUCACGGUUGCAUUAGAUUAUCUAGAUGGACAAGUACAUGACGGCGCCACUCCUGUUUUCUCUACUUCUUUUUGUAUGCCUUGCUACGACGACACAAUGUAAGUGUUUGAUACACAACUCUACUUCUGCUAAUCUUUCUUUACAAUUAUGUGCUUGCAUAGGUUAAUUAUACUCAUGUAAUAAUUUAAUUUUUAUGUUUAUCCUGGAAGUUGGUAUUUUGUUAGCGCAUGACACCUGUUUUUUUUCAUUCUUGUGCCAUCUGGUCCUUUGUUAAUCAAUAGGAAAUCAUACUAAUAUCAAUUAUUUGUCUGUACAUUUUUUAUAGGUCAAAUCACCAACAGCAUGGAUAAUGAUAAGAUCAAUUUACCAAGCGGGUUGUGCGUAUAUAGAAAAGAUGUUCAGCUCUAUUGUUGCCUUGUGUCGAAGUUAUGCUAUAACCCACUAGAACUAUGCGUUGAAGGUUGCAAAAGUUGACUCCUAUCAAAUUGACCUUUUAUUCGAAGAAGUAAUAUGUAAUGCGGAAGUCAUAUUUGAAAUAAAGAGUAGUAGAUUUGUUGUCAUCUGAUGGGUCAGUCCUGUUGCAAGUAAACUCUCG